Molecule: ribosomal RNA, 622 nt
Filed under: Caulobacteraceae bacterium Ri3Ps_5190
Lineage: Bacteria; Pseudomonadati; Pseudomonadota; Alphaproteobacteria; Caulobacterales; Caulobacteraceae
Description: bacterial SSU rRNA
Rfam family: Bacterial small subunit ribosomal RNA
Source: RNAcentral
GCCAUGCCGCGUGAAUGAUGAAGGUCUUAGGAUUGUAAAAUUCUUUCACCGGGGACGAUAAUGACCGUACCCGGAGAAGAAGCCCCGGCUAACUUCGUGCCAACAGCCGCGGUAAUACUAAGGGGGCUAGCGUUGCUCGGAAUUACUGGGCGUAAAGGGAGCGUAAGCGGACUGUUUAGUCAGAGGUGAAAGCCCAGGGCUCAACCUUGGAAUUGCCUUUGAUACUGGCAGUCUUGAGUACGGAAGAGGUAGGUGGAACUCCGAGUGUAGAGGUGAAAUUCAAUUAUAUUCGGAAGAACACCAGUGGCGAAGGCGACAUACAGGUCCGAUACUGACGCUGAUGCUCGAAAGCGUGGGGAGCAAACAGGAUUAAAUACCCUGGUAGUCCACGCCGUAAACGAUGAGUGCUAGUUGUCGGCAUGCAUGCAUGUCGGUGACGCAGCUAACGCAUUAAGCACUCCGCCUGGGGAGUACGGUCGCAAGAUUAAAACUCAAAGGAAUUGACGGGGGCCCGCACAAGCGGUGGAGCCAUGUGGUUUAAUUCGAAGCAGCGCGCAGAACCUUACCACCUUUUGACAUGCCCGGACCACCAGAGAGAUCUGGCUUUCCCCUUCAGGGACUG